RNAcentral lists this ribosomal RNA (253 nucleotides) under uncultured bacterium. RNAcentral's name for it is "partial 16S ribosomal RNA". It matches the Rfam family "Bacterial small subunit ribosomal RNA", at positions 524 to 776 of the family's 1533-position model. The record is from RNAcentral.
UACGUAGGGCGCAAGCGUUGUCCGGAAUUAUUGGGCGUAAAGAGCUCGUAGGCGGUUUGUCGCGUCUUCUGUGAAAACCUAAGGCUCAACCUUGGGCUUGCAGUGGGUACGGGCAGACUAGAGUGCGGUAGGGGUGACUGGAAUUCCUGGUGUAGCGGUGGAAUGCGCAGAUAUCAGGAGGAACACCGAUGGCGAACGCAGGUCACUGGGCCGCAACUGACGCUGAGGAGCGAAAGCAUGGGGAGCGAACAGG